This 314-nucleotide small nuclear RNA is filed under the name Jaculus jaculus (lesser Egyptian jerboa). RNAcentral describes it as "7SK RNA (ENSJJAG00000006867.1)". It matches the Rfam family "7SK RNA". From Rfam's summary of the family: 7SK was discovered as an abundant small nuclear RNA in the mid-70s but a possible function has only recently been suggested. Two independent studies have found that 7SK RNA binds the CDK9/cyclin T complex (known as elongation factor P-TEFb). P-TEFb activates transcription by phosphorylating the C-terminal domain of RNA polymerase II. The record is from Rfam by way of RNAcentral. Lineage: Eukaryota; Metazoa; Chordata; Mammalia; Rodentia; Dipodidae.
GGAUGUGAGGGCAAUCUGGCUGUGACAUCUGUCACCCCAUUGAUCGCCAGGGUUGAUUCGGCUGAUCUGGCUGGCUAGGCGAGUGUCCCCUUCCUCCCUCACUGCUCCAUGUGCCUCCCUCCCUAAGCUGCGCACUCGGUGGAAGAGGACGACCUUCCCUGAAUAGAGGAGGACCUGUCUUCGGUCAAGGGUAUACGAGUAGCUGCACUCUCCUGCUAGAACCUCCAAACAAGUUCACAAGAACUCAAAAAUCAGUGCAAAUAGUAGAAAAUAUUCAUUGAGUAUUAGCUAGCACAUUGCAUUGUUGCCUCAUU